GAGUUUGAUCCUGGCUCAGGAUGAACGCUGGCGGCGUGCUUAACACAUGCAAGUCGAACGAAGCGCCUUAUUUGAUUUUUCUUCGGAACUGAAGAUUUGGUGACUGAGUGGCGGACGGGUGAGUAACGCGUGGGUAACCUGCCCUGUACAGGGGGAUAACAAUCGGAAAUGACUGCUAAUACCGCAUAAGACCACAGCACCGCAUGGUGCAGGGUAAAAAACUCCGGUGGUACAGGAGUCGGACCCGCGUCUAG
This 254-nucleotide ribosomal RNA is filed under the name uncultured microorganism. RNAcentral's name for it is "partial 16S ribosomal RNA". It matches the Rfam family "Bacterial small subunit ribosomal RNA", at positions 9 to 240 of the family's 1533-position model. The record is from RNAcentral.